GGUAAGGUCAGCUAAAUUAUAAGCUACUGGGCUCAUAAUCCAGAUAUAAGAGUUUCAACUUUCUUCCUUACUU
Molecule: transfer RNA, 73 nt
Filed under: Euapta godeffroyi
Lineage: Eukaryota; Metazoa; Echinodermata; Holothuroidea; Apodida; Synaptidae
Description: tRNA-Met
Rfam family: tRNA
About the family: Transfer RNA (tRNA) molecules are approximately 80 nucleotides in length. Their secondary structure includes four short double-helical elements and three loops (D, anti-codon, and T loops).
Source: RNAcentral